UCGAGUCUCGACUGCAUCUUCUUGUUUCUAUGAAUGAAACUCCAUGGAAAUAUGAUUAUUAAGUUCCAUGUCCAUCAUCACUUCUUCAUCCCAAAAAUGUAAAACCAAACCCAGAAUUGAAAAACCAAACCAAUCCCCAAAAAUCGUAAAACCAAAAUGAAACCCAAAAUCAAAAAACCAAACCAAUCCCCAUGAAUUAAACGAAACUCAAAAGAAAAACGAGAGCCAAAUACGAGAAAACCUUAAAAAGAGAAACCAGAGGUGAGUUUAUGUACAGGGACGAGAAAGGGGCGGUUGGGUGCUUCGACGGUGGUGGUCUCGUGGCUUUUGUUAGUGUAGGGAGGAAACAAUGAUGGAGGUUCUUGGAGACGGAGUUCGCUGGAUUGGUUCUUGGCGAAGUUAGGGUUUGAAUACGUUUUCUAUUCAUCUUUCUCAGGUUUACGGUGGCGCGUACAAUCAACAUCCACUUCAUACAUUUAUUCUUUAUAAUAUGGUUUGUCAGGUUAUUCGCUAAUUUCUUGUUGUUUGGGAUAUCGACAGCAAGACAGAUGAUAGUUGACACUUGACAGUAAACCUGGUCUCUCCAAAAUGAGUGUCAAGGUGGCGAGUGGUUUCAUUACUCAUGCGUCGGUCUGACGCCCGAGACGAGGUUCAAGGGGAAGUGGUAUUGUAUGACCUGCAGACAACUUCCAUUGUAACGGGUAAUUAAGGGGAUGGCUAGGAUGGCUUCUGCUGAUAUUAUGUGUGUUGGUUUGAAAGUUGUGCGAGAAAAGUUCUCUGGCAUCAUCAGGUAAUCAUCUUUUUAAGAUUUUUGUUUGUUAAGAAGGUUGUAAGCAUUGCAUUCAACUUCUUUUUGGAGUAAUUUAGCGGUUCAGAUAUGCACAAGUUGAAAAAUUCUAGACGAGUCGUGUACAUGUUAAUUAAAUCAAAUAUGGGUAUACUACUUAUUUGAUGUGUAUGUAUGCAUAUAUACACUCUCUUUGAAGCAUAUAAUGUGCUUCUAGAGCAACCCACGUGAUGAAAUUUGCAAAUGUAACAAAAGCGGAGUAAGCUGUAAACCUGAACUUUCUUGCAAAAAUCCAUUUUCGUAUGAAAAAUACUCUUUCCAACCUAUUGUAACAAAAUGAAACUGAACUUGGUAAAAGAAGAAACAUAAGUACAUAUAAAUCUACAGUUAAUUCUGCCAGAAACUAAUUCAUUGUUUUAGCCCCAAUAAACUUAAGACACGAUGGUCUGUUCUAUAUGCCUUGAUUAUAUGCACCUUAUUCAUGAUAUGAUAUAUCUCUACAUAUAUAGUAUAUGCCUUUAUUAUAUGCACCUUAUUCAUGGUCUGUUCUUAAGACGCCUGCUGCAAGUAAGUUGUAUUAAGUCAACUGUUUAUAAUUCAGUUAUAUUCUAUAUGAUUUCUUCUUUGUUUGUUUCCAUUUCAUCCUAUACACACACACACACAUCUGGCCACAAAUCAUGUUUUGUCCCUACUGUUUCAUAUGGCUGUUCUUAACACGUUCUUGAUUUAUUUAUGGUUGUGUGACCUUGCAUUAUGGCUGUGACCUUCCAUCACCAUCAUUAGCAGUAAAAUAUGUUUUUAUAGCAAAAGGUCUUACCAUUGGGUUAAGUCGGUGCAUAAAUUUAUAUUUCUCAAACUCUGAAAUUUCUAUCACAACUUCUGGUAAGAUUAUUAAAUCAAUGCAUAAAUUCUUUGGACUUUUUACCCUUCAUCAUCAAACCUGCUUACAUUAAGCUUUAUAUAUAACCUGCUUCUUUGUACAUUUUUUGUCAUUAUCCUCUCUACAACAGCUGUUUCUUCAUGGUAGCCAUAUUUAGUCUAAUGGAUUUUAUUGUUUGAGUCUAAUAAAUUCUACAGCAGCUGUUUCUUCAUGGUAGCCAUGACCGUCCCUGUUCACAUGAUUGUACAUAAUUUGUUCACACUGCUUACAACUAUGUUCAUAAUUUGUUCACACAUACUUGAACUGUGCCUGCUGUAAAAUUCAGUUGUAUUAAGUAAAUUGUUUUAUAAUUCAGUUAUAUUCUAUAUGAACUGUGCCUGCUGCAAGUAAACUGUUUGAUAUC
Cynara cardunculus var. scolymus (artichoke) is the source of this 2070-nucleotide long non-coding RNA. RefSeq lists it as uncharacterized. NCBI's taxonomy places the organism in Eukaryota, Viridiplantae, Streptophyta, Magnoliopsida, Asterales, Asteraceae. The record is from RefSeq and is a predicted model, not a curated record. The transcript has 3 exons.